AGGUGAGGUCCGACUCCCAUAGGAGUCCGGGCGAAGUCUUCCUGUAGCUGGAGCUGGAGACAAGAUCUGGCUCCCGUAGGAGUUCGAUCGAAGUCUACCUGCAAUUAAAGUCAGGGGCGAAGUCCGGCUCCCUUAGGAGUCCAGACAAAGCUUACCAGCAGUCGAGGUUGAGGAUGAAGCCCAGUUCCCAUGGGAGUCUGGGCGAAG
Molecule: long non-coding RNA, 207 nt
Filed under: Elaeis guineensis (African oil palm)
Lineage: Eukaryota; Viridiplantae; Streptophyta; Magnoliopsida; Arecales; Arecaceae
Description: long non-coding RNA (EGUI_LNC074702)
Source: RNAcentral